This 544-nucleotide ribosomal RNA is filed under the name uncultured bacterium. RNAcentral describes it as "partial 16S ribosomal RNA". It matches the Rfam family "Bacterial small subunit ribosomal RNA", at positions 355 to 888 of the family's 1533-position model. The record is from RNAcentral.
UAGGGAAUCUUCCACAAUGGACGAAAGUCUGAUGGAGCAACGCCGUGUGAGUGAAGAAGGUUUUCGGAUCGUAAAGCUCUGUUGUUGGUGAAGAAGGAUAGAGGCAGUAACUGGUCUUUAUUUGACGGUAAUCAACCAGAAAGUCACGGCUAACUACGUGCCAGCAGCCGCGGUAAUACGUAGGUGGCAAGCGUUGUCCGGAUUUAUUGGGCGUAAAGCGAGCGCAGGCGGAAUGAUAAGUCUGAUGUGAAAGCCCACGGCUCAACCGUGGAACUGCAUCGGAAACUGUCAUUCUUGAGUGCAGAAGAGGAGAGUGGAACUCCAUGUGUAGCGGUGGAAUGCGUAGAUAUAUGGAAGAACACCAGUGGCGAAGGCGGCUCUCUGGUCUGCAACUGACGCUGAGGCUCGAAAGCAUGGGUAGCGAACAGGAUUAGAUACCCUGGUAGUCCAUGCCGUAAAACGAUGAGCGCUAGGUGUUGGGGACUUUCCGGUCCUCAGUGCCGCAGCAAAACGCAUUAAGCGCUCCGCCUGGGGAGUACGACCG